This 708-nucleotide ribosomal RNA is filed under the name Triticum aestivum (bread wheat). Its description in RNAcentral is "partial small subunit ribosomal RNA". The record is from RNAcentral. Lineage: Eukaryota; Viridiplantae; Streptophyta; Magnoliopsida; Poales; Poaceae.
AUGAAAGACGGGCCUUCAAGCUCAUCUAGUGAGGCUGGAAACAUAAGCAUUUGGGAUAUAAUCUGGAAGUUGGACAUCCCAGAGAGGAUCAAAAUUUUCGGAUGGCGAAUUGCAACAAAUACUUUGGCGAUGAAGAGGAACAAAUUCAGGCGCACUAUUGUGCAUGCCAUUGUUUGUGACAUAUGUGGGAAUGGAGAUAAAGAUGAGUUCCAUGCUGUCAUCUCAUGCACAAAAAGCAUCGCGCUCAAGUUUGAAAUGAGAAAGAAGUGGCGUCUGCCCGAGGAAAAUGAAUUCGGGUAUACAGGGAAGGACUGGUUGCAAAUCUUGCUGGACAAGCAUGAUCCAGACGUGCGAAGGAAAAUUGUGCUGUUGCUGUGGCGCGCAUGGUUUUUGCAUGAUAAUUGUGUGCACAAUGAUGGCAAAGAAUCAGUUUUCAGAUCUAUGCUAUUCUUGGUGCAGUACCAGGAAGAGUUAAGGAAUCCGUCUACACCAAAUGAUGGUCAGGAAAGCAAGAGAGCUUGGUCCCUGUCCCCUAUAAGCCCAACGUUUCCGAGAAACCAACCGAAUCCCGCGGCGAAUGCCCCAUGGGAAGCGCCACCAAUCGGUAGUAAAACUGAACACGGAUGCAGGCUUCCUCUCGGGAUCGGGACAAAGCUGGGCGGGUGUUGUCGCAAGAGACAACAAAGGCCUAGUGUUCUUCUCUGCUAG